This 77-nucleotide transfer RNA is filed under the name Acetobacter pasteurianus IFO 3283-01. RNAcentral's name for it is "tRNA-Met". The stretch from base 1 to 68 matches the Rfam family "tRNA". Rfam says of the family: Transfer RNA (tRNA) molecules are approximately 80 nucleotides in length. Their secondary structure includes four short double-helical elements and three loops (D, anti-codon, and T loops). Further hydrogen bonds mediate the characteristic L-shaped molecular structure. tRNAs have two regions of fundamental functional importance: the anti-codon, which is responsible for specific mRNA codon recognition, and the 3' end, to which the tRNAs corresponding amino acid is attached (by aminoacyl-tRNA synthetases). tRNAs cope with the degeneracy of the genetic code in two manners: having more than one tRNA (with a specific anti-codon) for a particular amino acid; and 'wobble' base-pairing, i.e. permitting non-standard base-pairing at the 3rd anti-codon position. RNAcentral also lists the same sequence under 1 other name. Lineage: Bacteria; Pseudomonadati; Pseudomonadota; Alphaproteobacteria; Acetobacterales; Acetobacteraceae. The record is from RNAcentral.
GUGGAGCAGCCCGGUAGCUCGUCAGGCUCAUAACCUGAAGGCCGCAGGUUCAAAUCCUGCCCCCGCAACCACUGAUA